UACGUAGGGUGCGAGCGUUAAUCGGAAUUACUGGGCGUAAAGUGUGCGCAGGCGGCGUCGCAAGUCGAGUGUGAAAGCCCCGGGCUCAACCUGGGAAUUGCAUGGGAAACUGGCAGGCUUGAGUGUGGCAGAGGAGGGUGGAAUUCCGCGUGUAGCAGUGAAAUGCGUAGAGAUGCGGAGGAACACCGAUGGCGAAGGCAGCCCUCUGGGCCAACACUGACGCUCAGGCACGAAAGCGUGGGGAGCAAACAGG
Molecule: ribosomal RNA, 253 nt
Filed under: uncultured bacterium
Lineage: Bacteria
Description: partial 16S ribosomal RNA
Rfam family: Bacterial small subunit ribosomal RNA
Source: RNAcentral